UACAGAGGUCCCAAGCGUUGUUCGGAUUUACUGGGCGUAAAGGGUGCGUAGGUGGCGAGGUAAGUUCGAUGUGAAAUCUCUGAGCUCAACUCGGAAAUGGCAUUGAAUACUAUCCCGCUUGAGGGUCGGAGGGGAGACUGGAAUUCUCGGUGUAGCAGUGAAAUGCGUAGAUAUCGAGAGGAACACCAGUGGCGAAGGCGAGUCUCUGGACGACUCCUGACACUGAGGCGCGACAGCGUGGGGAGCAAACAGG
Molecule: ribosomal RNA, 253 nt
Filed under: uncultured bacterium
Lineage: Bacteria
Description: partial 16S ribosomal RNA
Rfam family: Bacterial small subunit ribosomal RNA
Source: RNAcentral